RNAcentral lists this ribosomal RNA (775 nucleotides) under uncultured Neocallimastigales. RNAcentral describes it as "partial large subunit ribosomal RNA". It matches the Rfam family "Eukaryotic large subunit ribosomal RNA", at positions 18 to 643 of the family's 3401-position model. The record is from RNAcentral. Lineage: Eukaryota; Fungi; Neocallimastigomycota; Neocallimastigomycetes; Neocallimastigales.
UCAGACGAUGCGUCAUGCAUAUCAAUAAGCGGAGGAAAAGAAACUAACAAGGAUUCCCCUAGUAACGGCGAGUGAAGCGGGAAGAGCUCAAAUUUGAAAUCUUAAAGGGUUUCCCUUUACGAAUUGUAGUUUAAAGAAGUGUUUUCUGUUGAGGUUUUGGUAAAAGUUCUUUGGAAUAGGACAUCAUAGAGGGUGAGAAUCCCGUAUUUGACCUUUACUUUCAACUUUGUGAUACACUUUCAAAGAGUCGGAUUGUUUGGGAAUGCAGUCCAAAAUGGGUGGUAAAUUUCAUCUAAAGCUAAAUAUUGGCGAGAGACCGAUAGCGAACAAGUACCGUGAGGGAAAGAUGAAAAGAACUUUGAAAAGAGAGUUAAACAGUACGUGAAAUUGUCAAAAGGGAAGCGUUUGACACCAGUGUUGUUUUUCUGAAAAUCAAUUAAAGAACUGUUUAUGCUAAGCUGUUUAGACUUUAUCAGCUAUCUGUUUAGUUUUGAGCUUUUCUUUAAUGCACUUUUCAGUUAACAAGUCAACAUCAAUUUCUUUUGCUGUAAAAAAGCUUGAGGAAGGUGGCUAGAGAUUCGUCUUAAGUGUUUAUAGCCUCUUGCCUAUGCAGUCGGAGAGAUUGAGGUCCUGCAGCGUAGAUCCUUCGGGGCUAAAUGCAUUUGUGCUAAGUUAUAGCAUUUUAUAGACAACUUGUUGACUAUGAUUUGUCUUGUAGCUUACUCGCUUAUGUUAUUUUACCUACGCUUAGGAUGUUGACACACGCGCGUGCUCG